AAGUCGUAACAAGGUUUCCGUAGGUGAACCUGCGGAAGGAUCAUUAACACGUAUCCAACGUUAAAAACCCCGUGAACCUUUAAAACGCUGUGUCCCAGGACUAAAUCCAGUGGCCUUAGCAAUCCCUGUACUCGUGGGAGAAAUGUAAUGAGAAGGGACUUCUGAGGUUGGCUUUCUGGUUUCAGACCGCGUCGUAGUGACUUUUUUUCCCCAAGCAAUCCGUGAGUGAAAGUGUCAUUGGUUGCGUAAGGAUUUCGCCUAGCGAUCACUGGAGGUCGAUCACCGACCGGUGGACUAAGUCACAGGGCUUCGGCUCCCUAAUAACCCCCAUUCAAUUUGCCGCUCCGCGCUAACAACGCCGGGCACUUAAAAACGUACUAAACAACUGUUAACAAUGGAUAUCUUGGUUCUC
RNAcentral lists this unclassified non-coding RNA (412 nucleotides) under fungal sp. Its description in RNAcentral is "partial internal transcribed spacer region". The stretch from base 1 to 46 matches the Rfam family "Eukaryotic small subunit ribosomal RNA", at positions 1786 to 1831 of the family's 1831-position model. Lineage: Eukaryota; Fungi. The record is from RNAcentral. RNAcentral also lists the same sequence under 1 other name.